This 442-nucleotide ribosomal RNA is filed under the name uncultured bacterium. Its description in RNAcentral is "bacterial SSU rRNA". It matches the Rfam family "Bacterial small subunit ribosomal RNA", at positions 30 to 471 of the family's 1533-position model. The record is from RNAcentral.
AUUGAACGCUGGCGGCAUGCCUUACACAUGCAAGUCGAACGGCAGCACGGGAGCAAUCCUGGUGGCGAGUGGCGAACGGGUGAGUAAUAUAUCGGAACGUGCCCAGUCGUGGGGAUAACGUAGCGAAAGCUACGCUAAUACCGCAUACGAUCUACGGAUGAAAGCGGGGGGAUCGCAAGACCUCGCGCGAUUGGAGCGGCCGAUAUCAGAUUAGGUAGUUGGUGGGGUAAAGGGCUCACCAAGCCAACGAUCUGUAGCUGGUCUGAGAGGACGACCAGCCACACUGGAACUGAGACACGGUCCAGACUCCUACGGGAGGCAGCAGUGGGGAAUUUUGGACAAUGGACGCAAGUCUGAUCCAGCCAUUCCGCGUGCAGGAUGAAGGCCCUCGGGUUGUAAACUGCUUUUGUACGGAACGAAAGGUUUCUAUUAAUACUAGGAG